RNAcentral lists this ribosomal RNA (600 nucleotides) under uncultured bacterium. RNAcentral's name for it is "bacterial SSU rRNA". It matches the Rfam family "Bacterial small subunit ribosomal RNA", at positions 96 to 681 of the family's 1533-position model. The record is from RNAcentral.
CGGCGGACGGGUGAGUAAUGUUGGGAAACUGCCUGAUGGAGGGGGACUAACUACUGGCAAACGGCUAGCUAAUACCGCAUAACGCUCGCAAGACCCACACGACGGGGGACCUUCGGCGCCUCUUGCCACUCAGAUGUGCCCACGAUGGGAUUACGCUAGUACGUGGGGUAACGGCUCACCUAGGCGACGAUCCCUAGCUGGUCUGAGAGGAUGACCAGCACACUGGAACUGAGACACGGUCCAGACUCCUACGGGAGGCAGCAGUGGGGAAUAUUGCACAAUGGGCGCAACGCCUGAUGCAGCCAUGCCGCGUGUAUGAAGAAGGCCUUCGGGUUGUAAAGUACUUUCAGCGGGGAGGAAGGUGUGUGGCUAAUAACCACAGCAAUUGACGUUACCCGCAGAAGAAGCACCGGCUAACUCCGUGCCAAGCAGCCGCGGUAAUACGGAGGGUGCAAGCGUUUAAUCGGGAAUAACUGGGCGUAAAGGGCAUCGCAGGCGGUCUGUACAAAGGGUCGGGGAAUUGGUGGACAAAUCCCCCCCGGGGGUCUUCAAACCCAUGGGGGAAAACUUGGAAUUUCCGAAAAACCAUGGGGACAGAGG